GACGAACGCUGGCGGCGUGCUUAACACAUGCAAGUCGAACGGAAAGGCCCUGCUUUUGUGGGGUGCUCGAGUGGCGAACGGGUGAGUAACACGUGAGUAACCUGCCCUUGACUUUGGGAUAACUUCAGGAAACUGGGGCUAAUACCGGAUAUGAGCUCCUGCUGCAUGGUGGGGGUUGGAAAGUUUCGGCGGUUGGGGAUGGACGCGAGGCCUUGCAGCUUGUUGGUGGGGUAGUGGAUUACCAGGGCAUUGACGGGUCGCCGGCCUGAGAGGGUGACCGGCCACAGUGGGACUGAGGUACGGGCCAGAGUCCUACGGGAGGCAGCAGUGGGGAAUAGUGCACGAUGGGCGGAAGGCUGAUGGAGCAACGCCGCGUGGGGGAGGACGGUCGUCGGGUUGGAAGGCGCUUGCGCGUGUGAAGAAGAGUGAGUGACGGUAGUGGGUAAAGAAGCACCGGCUAACUACGUG
Molecule: ribosomal RNA, 468 nt
Filed under: uncultured bacterium
Lineage: Bacteria
Description: partial 16S ribosomal RNA
Rfam family: Bacterial small subunit ribosomal RNA
Source: RNAcentral